GAGCAAGCAGCUGGUUCUCUGUGCCUGUACACCGGGACAGGUGCAAGGCAGCCUGAGCGGGGCUGCAGUUUUCCCAACACAGCGGAUGGCGCCAGACAGGGCCCAGCUCCAGGCGGCCUCAGCGGGCGGCGUGGGAACCUGCUCCGGGGGCGCGCGGCCUGCUCGGUUCGCAGGCUCCCGGGCCGGGCUGUCACCUGGGGAACAGAGGUUCGGGAGGUAGGGGCGUCACCCCAGCAGGCCCUGCACGGCCCCCGAAGCGCCCGCACUCGCAGGGCCAUUUGCGGGAGGCCCCCGGGGGCAGUGCGGGGCAGCGGGGCUCGAGCCACCGAGGUUGCGUGCUGCUGGGCGCAGGUACGCAGGCCCCGCAGGUGCGCAGGCCCGGCAAGGUCAGCAGGCCCUGGCCCUGCAGGCCCUGGCCCCGCAGGUACGCAGGCCCCGCAGGUGCGCAGGCCCGGCAAGGUCAGCAGGCCCAGCAGGUCAGCAGGCUCCGCAGGUACGCAGGCCCAGCAGGAACGCAGGCCCGGCAGGCCCAGGCCCGCAGGUCAGCAGACCCGGCAGGUACGCAGGCCGGGCAGGUCAGCAGGCCCUGCAGGUCCAGGCUUCGCAGGUCCGCAGAUUGGCAGGUCAGCAGAUCUGCAGGUCCCGCGGGUCCGCAGGUCCGCAGGUCUAGGCCCCGCAGGUGGGCAGGCCCCGCAGGCCCCGCAGGUCCCGCAGGUCCGCAGGUGGGCAGGUGGGCAGGUGGGCAGGUCCCCAGGCCCCGCAGGUCGGGAGGUCAGGAGGUCCGCAGGUGGGCAGGUCCGCCGGUCUAGGCCCCGCAGGUGGGCAGGCCCCGCAGGUCCCACAGGUCCGCAGGUGGGCAGGUGGGCAGGUCCCCAGGCCCGCGGCCGUCCGCGCCGCGCCGCCGUUGCUAGGCGACCUCCGCCGUCCCCGAGGCGGCCCCGCCCCCCGGCCCAUCGGCCCCGCGCUCGCCGGCGCCCACCUUCCCUUUGUUCCGCAGCCAUCUCGGGCCGGACGGGAGGCGGCGGCUUCGGCAGAGGGCCCGAGCGCCGGAGGCCUCUGGGAUGGUGUGGGACCGGGAGUGACCGCCUCUUGGCCUCCUGCCAGUCAGAAGCCCGCCUGGGCCGGGAGCGCUCGCAGCCUAAGUCCGUUACCCUAACCAAGCCGCGCACCGGUUGGCUCCAUCAGCAGACGUAG
RNAcentral lists this long non-coding RNA (1194 nucleotides) under Canis lupus dingo (dingo). RNAcentral describes it as "lncRNA (ENSCAFG00020019126.1)". Lineage: Eukaryota; Metazoa; Chordata; Mammalia; Carnivora; Canidae. The record is from RNAcentral.